Molecule: long non-coding RNA, 463 nt
Filed under: Hordeum vulgare
Lineage: Eukaryota; Viridiplantae; Streptophyta; Magnoliopsida; Poales; Poaceae
Description: long non-coding RNA (HVUL_LNC009735)
Source: RNAcentral
AUACAUACGGUACAUCUCAUACAACAUUUGCAUUCGGUUCACGACACGUUCCAACGGUAUACCUUCGAAGCGUGGGAAUCGGAGGGGUUCAGUAUGGUGAAGGAGAACAACGGUCAUCAUGGAAGUCGUUGUCGUUGUGGUACUCGGGUCUCGUCGACGGUAGUCGUACUCUUGGUGUUGUGGUUCACGGGUCUUCGGCAUCGGUAGUCGAACACGUCUCCGGGGGUCGUCGAGGACGUAGUUGUACACGGAGAUCUUGUCGGUUCCAUGAAGGAGGGGAUGGUCUAACCAGUGACGGGAAGCGGCAGCACGACCAAUAGCUAGCAGCUAAGCAACUAACAACAGCGAUAGCAUGGCAUCUAACAACAACAGCUUGCAGCUACGGCAACUAGCCACUACGGCGGCAGCAACAACAACUAAUAAGCUAGCAGGCAAGCAAGCAACGGCGCAGGCAUGCAAAGCU